AUGCAAUAGAAAUAUUCUAUCAUAUAAAUGUUAUGAGCGGUAUUUUGGGGCAACACUUUAUUUGAUUUUUAAAGUUUUGUUGGGAGAAAGUAUAUGAUAGAAAUGCAUGUAUCUAUCUAAAUGAAUUAACUAUAAAUUUCAAACAGAAGAGGUAAAACUAUGAAACGAGAAAAUCCAUUGUUUUUCUUAUUUAAA
This 195-nucleotide small RNA is filed under the name Staphylococcus aureus. RNAcentral describes it as "Transcript". Lineage: Bacteria; Bacillati; Bacillota; Bacilli; Caryophanales; Staphylococcaceae. The record is from RNAcentral.